Molecule: long non-coding RNA, 1339 nt
Filed under: Salmo salar (Atlantic salmon)
Lineage: Eukaryota; Metazoa; Chordata; Actinopteri; Salmoniformes; Salmonidae
Description: lncRNA (ENSSSAG00000116496.1)
Source: RNAcentral
GAAACCAAAAGGGAGGGUUGGGGGGGUGUCUAGUGUUGGUGGCGGCUCUGGUGCAGGACGAAGAACGUUCUCAUCCUGCGGAUCCACCAGCAUUGGAGGCGGCUCUAGUGCAGGACGAAGAACCCUCUCAUCCUGCGGAUCCGCCAACAUUGGAGGCGUCUCUCUUUCGGGGGUCGUCGCCAAAAGCUCUGGACCGUGGCUCCGGACUGCCGACCCGCCACUGGAGGCUCCGGACUGCCGAACACCACUAGAGGCUCCGGACUGCCGACCACCACUAGAGGCUCCGGACUGCAGACCGCCGCUGCAGGCUCCGGACUGCGGACCGCCGCUGCAGGCUCCGGACUGGGGACCGCCGCUGCAGGCUCCGGACUGCGGACCGCCGCUGCAGGCUCCGGACUGGGGACCGCCGCUGCAGGCUCCGGACUGCGGACCGCCGCUGCAGGCUCCAGACUGCGGACCAUUGCUGCAGGCUCCAGAUUGGGGACCGUCGCUGCAGGCUCCGUGCCAUGGAUCAUCACUACAGGCUCCGGGCCAUGGAUCAUCACUGGAGGCUUCGUGCCAUGGAUUAUUUUAUUUUAUUUUUUAUUUUUUUAUUUCACCUUUAUUUAACCAGGUAGGCAAGUUGAGAACAAGUUCUCAUUUACAACUGCGACCUGGCCAAGAUAAAGCAAAGCAGUUCGACUACAUACAACAACACAGAGUUACACAUGGAGUAAAACAAACAUAGUCAAUAAUACAGUAGAAAAAUAAGUCUAUAUACAAUGUGAGCAAAUGAGGUGAGAUAGGGAGGUAAAGGCAAAAAAAAGGCCAUGGUGGCAAAGUAAAUACAAUAUAGCAAGUAAAACACUGGAAUGGUAGAUUUGUAGUAGAAGAAACCGUGAAGAAAAGUAGAAAUAGAAAUAAUGGGGUGCAAAGGAGCAAAAUAAAUAAAUAAAUAAAUACAAUAGGGGAAGAGGUAGUUGUUUGGGCUAAAUUAUAGAUGGGAUAUGUACAGGUGCAGUGAUCUGUGAGCUGCUCUGACAGCUGGUGCUUAAAGCUAGUGAGGGAGAUAAGUGUUUCUAGUUUCACAGAUUUUUGUAGUUCGUUCUAGUCAUUGGCAGCAGAGAACUGGAAGGAGAGACGGCCAAAGGAGGAAUUGGCUUUGGGGAUGACCAGAGAGAUAUACCUGCUGGAGCUGGAGUGCCAGGAUGGUCAGUUUUACGAGGGUAUGUUUGGCAGCAUGAGUGAAGGAUGCUUUGUUGCGAAAUAGGAAGCCAAUUCUAGAUGUAAUUUUGGAUUGGAGAUGUUUGAUGUGAGUCUGGAAGGAGAGUUUACAGUCUAACCAGACACCUAUGUAUUU